RNAcentral lists this long non-coding RNA (1753 nucleotides) under Strigops habroptila (Kakapo). Its description in RNAcentral is "lncRNA (ENSSHBG00005007770.1)". The record is from RNAcentral. Lineage: Eukaryota; Metazoa; Chordata; Aves; Psittaciformes; Psittacidae.
UGUCGGAUUGUAUUAAUUUAUUUGAGCCACAGCCUGAUACAACCCAAAAGUCCAGUUAAUUCUUGGCUCAAGACAGACGACUGAGACUUCACAGAGCAUAAAAGAAUUAGCAGAAAACACACAUUGCAAACAGACAUCCGAAAAGAAAACCUUUCCCCAAAGCUCAACAACACCGAGGAACUCAACAGACUCUUCUGCAGAAGCCCGAUGAAGAUUUGUACAUCGUUAAUUCGAUUGCAGAGGGUGCAUGUUAAACAGAAAAGAACUGAGUUUGUCACUGUCAUCUGAAUCCAUUCAGUCAGUGCAACAAAGGUAUAUUUAACUAAAAUAUGAAACAGACUUGCUAACACCGCAUUAUUUUCUCAGGCUUACAAAGUUAAAAAAAAAAUUUAAACUGAAUAUAAAUGACUUUGAGCAUUUUUUAUGACACCCACAGCCUAAGUGAUCCAGAUAAUGUAAUCUAACCAUCAUUAGAAACCAUGAAAUUAUAAUUCCUCUGGGAUGGAUAUUUAUCUCUCUGUUACAUACAGAAAGGCGAUUAAUUAGUAGCUCUUUCAGUGUUUAACAUUACUGUGUACUGAGGCUGAUUAAAAUCUAACUAUAGAACAGCUAUCAUAGCUAACACAUAAUCUGGGGAAAGUUUAGCUGGGGCAUGAAGAAGAAGCACCUUAAAAAGAAAACUUAAAGAAAAUGUACUCUUAGAAGUAGGUAGCUUCAAAGCCAAAACCCUGGCUUCCUUCUAAUUUCUAUUGCACACAGUAAUCAUGACAAUUACUGAGAUUUCAAAACCCUCAAUAUUAAAACCAACUAAACCCAUGUCAAAUAUUUUUGCAAAGUGGUGAAAUUCACAGGAUACCCAUUUGUUUUCAAGGAAUGUAUACAGGGCAGAGUCAUGAAGUGAAUCACACAGCAGUGUCUUGAAUGGCUUAUUCUGAAAUGUAAAUGGGAGCGUUCGCUGGGGCAUGUGUGUGUGUGUGUACCCUGUAUGGACAGCACAGCGCACACACGCUGUGUGGGCUAAAUUCAUAUUUCUGGUGUAAUUUCACUGGCUCGUGUGGAAUGCACCAAAGAUGUGUCAAUGUGUGUGUGCAGUUUCCUCCAGGAUCUCACGUGGGACAAGAGGACAUGGAUAAUUUCACCUUGGGAGAAAUAAACAGAGGCAACUUGAGUAAGUUUGAUUUCCAGAGCAUUCCUACUGUGAAUGAAACUAUUGGAAGAAUUUCAUGCAAGGGCAGCUGAAAUGCCAGAAAAAUCCCAAAUCACUACUUGUUAUUUUGAAAAUAAUAUCCUAUUUCGGCACCACUGUACCAAGGUAUGUGCAGUUUUUUAGGUUUUGUGCCGGUUGGGAAGAGAGAAGAAACUUGAAAAGCAAAUAUGAACAGCUCAGCAAAAAGACCAAGGUAGCCCUGGUUUUCUCUAAUUUUUGGAAACUAUCUGCUGAGACCACAAAUCAGUAUUGGACAUAGAUCGUAUUUUAGUGAGGAUACACAGAAAGAAAUUAGAAGUAAUUUUAAAAUGAAGCAUAAAGAAAGAACAUUUUAUCAUCACUCCCGCAGCCCCCCAGUUCAGGUCCCAAAGAACUGAGCCACUGAUUCCUAAUCCUCUCCAUUGUGCCAAGUAUUGUGUAGAUGCUGCUCUCUUCUGGCUGUCUACACAAAUUUUAAUAUGCAAAAUAUUAAUAAAAAGUGAAAUAAAAGGCUGAGAAAAAUCAAAUAUGGCCUCAAUGUGCUGAUGGUAAUGGAGGCACCCCUAU